UGGGAAUUUUGGACAAUGGGCGCAAGCCUGAUCCAGCCAUGCCGCGUGCGGGAAGAAGGCCUUCGGGUUGUAAACCGCUUUUGUCAGGGAAGAAAUCUUCUGAGUUAAUACCUCGGGAGGAUGACGGUACCUGAAGAAUAAGCACCGGCUAACUACGUGCCAGCAGCCGCGGUAAUACGUAGGGUGCAAGCGUUAAUCGGAAUUACUGGGCGUAAAGCGUGCGCAGGCGGUUUUGUAAGACAGAGGUGAAAUCCCCGGGCUCAACCUGGGAACUGCCUUUGUGACUGCAAGGCUUGAGUGCGGCAGAGGGGGAUGGAAUUCCGCGUGUAGCAGUGAAAUGCGUAGAUAUGCGGAGGAACACCGAUGGCGAAGGCAAUCCCCUGGGCCUGCACUGACGCUCAUGCACGAAAAGCGUGGGGAGCAAAACAGGAUUAGAUACCCUGGUAGUCCACGCCCUAAAACGAUGUCAACUGGUUGUUGGG
RNAcentral lists this ribosomal RNA (482 nucleotides) under uncultured bacterium. RNAcentral describes it as "partial 16S ribosomal RNA". It matches the Rfam family "Bacterial small subunit ribosomal RNA", at positions 356 to 827 of the family's 1533-position model. The record is from RNAcentral.